Arabidopsis thaliana (thale cress) is the source of this 235-nucleotide long non-coding RNA. RefSeq annotates it as other RNA. The record is from RefSeq. NCBI's taxonomy places the organism in Eukaryota, Viridiplantae, Streptophyta, Magnoliopsida, Brassicales, Brassicaceae. The transcript has a single exon.
CUGGACUGGACCAGUAAUGGGCCCUACUGAGUCACGGCCUUUCUUUUUACUUUUUUUACCGCAAAACGCGACUAAGGUGACGUGGAAAGGCCGGCCCUAUCCAGGCAAGUUGAUGAGGCAUUAAAUUACAUAAAACUCAUAUGAUUACAGAAAAAAAAGAAAGGAGGAAAAAGUCAAAAAGGCACAGAGAAGGCAUCCCCUUGUGACUCUGUUACGUCCGUUAAUUUCGGCUCCC